RNAcentral lists this ribosomal RNA (811 nucleotides) under Cercopagis pengoi. Its description in RNAcentral is "eukaryotic LSU rRNA". It matches the Rfam family "Eukaryotic large subunit ribosomal RNA", at positions 1339 to 1907 of the family's 3401-position model. The record is from RNAcentral. Lineage: Eukaryota; Metazoa; Arthropoda; Branchiopoda; Diplostraca; Cercopagididae.
UGCCUAUACCGGGCCGCCGGUCGGCAGUGUACAACGUAUUCUCCUCGAAGAGAGGCAGAGACGCUGAGGCCCCGGCGAGUAGGGGGGUCGCGGCGGUGAGCGUUGAAGGGUUGUGGGCGUGAGCCUGCCCGGAGCCGCCGUCGGUGCAGAUCUUGGUGGUAGUAGCAAAUACUCCAGAGGGAUCCUGGAGGACUGACGCGGAGAAGGGUUUCAUGUGAACAGUGGUUGGACAUGAGUCAGUCGAUCCUAAGCCGCAGGAGAAAUCCGACCUAGUGUACUGGCGUGAUUUUAUACUGUCGACAGUGUGUCACGGUGUGUGUGUGUGUGUGUGUGUGUGUGUGCUUGCGCGAGAGCGUACGUACGGGGGCAUAUAUAUUCACAUUAUACAUCGUCAUACGAGACAUAUUUAUCAAGAGGCGCCGCUGGGUGAAGGCGAAAGGGAAUCCGGUCCUAAUUCCGGAACCAGGCUGCGGCUACGUCCGCGAAAUACGAAUUAACCCUCGUUUUCUCGGUCGCGGCAACGCGACACAAACCGGAGAAGCUGUCGAGAACCCCGGGAAGAGUUUUCUUUUCUGCUUGAGGGACCGAGACCAUGGAAUUCCGUCGUGGAGCGAGAUGGUUUUGGAUACACGCUGUUAAAAAGGCGAUCCCGAAGAGCGCCGCGUUUCUGCGGCGUCCGUGGUCGUUCUCGACUGGCCCUUGAAAAUCCGGCGGGAGGGUUACGUUUUUGGACGUUCGCGCCUGCUCGUACCGAUAUCCGCAUCAGGUCUCCUAGGUGAACAGCCUCUAGUCGAUAGAAGAAUGUAGGUAA